CCAGGCAAAGGGAGAAUCUUGCUGGGAAUCUCGCUUCUAGCCAAUGAGGAAUUUUCAGAAAAGCGAAAUGGAAGGCAUCAUUUUGACAUCUCUGCAGAUCUGUAUUCCGAAAGGUACUCAGAUAUCCACGAAGUCCUCCUCAUCUCACACCAUCGUUUCUCUCACUGGGCACAAUCCAGCUUUAAAGAAUUCAGCACUUACUGGUCUUCAGAGGACUGUCAGCAAUGACAGCAACCAGGGAUGCUGACAUGUCUUGUUGUUUACAAAGGAUGAGCACAAGGCCUUUUGGAUAACCUGAUAAGCCCUGCAACUCCUCUCUCCCUGUUCCUCACCUCUCUGGACCAGCUGCCUUUGUGUGGUGGCAAAACUGAGAUUUUGGGAUCCAUGCAGCUCUAUGGAAUAUAUUAUGGGUGAAUUUUGAACCCAGGUCUAUGUGCUUCCAGGUAAGUUUUCCAUUUUGCCACUCUCUCCUGUGAGCCUAGUCUUAAGGUGGAGUCCUAACUGGGACACUGAGGACAGAAGGGCCCAUUGAUUGAGACUCUCUGACUGCGAGAAACAGUGGAAUGCAAAAUAGCAUGCUCACAGCUGUUUUCAAGCAAUAGCACCAUCUAAAACCACUUGGAAUGAAGAGACCUAUGUGGCUAAGAACUGAUGCAAAGGAAGAAUAUUCACUCUGGGUCAGUGUUUGAGCCUAUAGAAUUAGCUAAUAUUGUUGAUUUUGCUGCCUCUCUGAUAUGUUGGAGGCAAUUUCCAUCCUCCUAAACAUGUUAAAUGCAUUUUGUGGUUUUAACAGGCUAAAGUGUUAACUCUUGUUUAAAUAUCUAUAUUUAGCAUUACUUAUAGAACUAACACAAGUACAUUCUCUUCCAUACAGAGAGAUUAACUUUUUCAGAAAAUUAUUCAAAUAAUUCAUUGGACCAUUAUGUUAGGGAUGCUUACUCAUCAAUUCCAGAUAGAGUUGAUAAAGAUUUGUGCCCAUAUGGGAUGCACUCUGUAGAGUAUCCACAUGUAGAUUGGACCUACUAGUGCUACCUCUAGCAAAAUGAGAAUGUUACCAGUAAUCAUCACACAAAGGAUGUCAUGGUAAAUCAAGGCUCAGAAAAUGAUAUGCUACCUAAGGGAUGUGGCAUUGUGCUUCUACCUUGUUUCUUCUCAAGCCCAGUUACAUCAGUUUCUUCUUGUUUCUUCUUUAGUCUGGCUGUGGCAUUCAGACAUUUGUUCAGCUCCAGGUUUUGUUUAUUUCUGGUUUUUGUUUGAUUCUGGCUUGAGCUUGUGGGGAGUAAUUGUGUAGUUUAAGGUCCUUCUACUUCUAGCUCAUCUUGAAUCCAUGUGUCAUUUUCAUGACUGGGUUUUUUUUUAUUUCUCAAAUAAAUGCAUUGGUCUGCCUGCCCGGCUUUUGCACAUUUCAGGCUUCCAUCUGCAAAGAAAAGAGACCAUGAGAUCUGCUAACAUGCAAAAAGAAGAUAAAAGCAUUUUAAAAAAAUGUCUUCCUGCACACAGGCCUGCUUUAUAAUAAACCAGAACAGUGCAGGAAUUAAGAUGUUGUUGAAAUGCCCAAGUGUUUCUGCCCUUUUAUUACGUCCAGGGUGAUGAGGUCAUGGCUUACUGUUUAGCUUAUGUGGUACAAUUAAGAGAUUCAUUUCUUAACGUGAUUCAUCUCAGGAAGAGUUGACUCAGAAAAGUUUUAGGGGAGAGGCAAGACUUGUAUGAGGAGAUUUUGAAAAAUUGUGCUUUUCUUCUGGAAGUUUGAGUUCAUUUUUUAUUCCAGGUAAGAAUGAGGAGAACUGCAAUGAGUCUGUGUCAGAUUUCUGAGUAACAGGGAGCUGUUGUUGAUUGUUUUUGGAGACAGGAUCUCACCCUGUUGCACAGACUGGGGUGUGGUGCUACGAUCAUGGCUCAGUGCAACCUUGACCUCCUGGGCUCAAAAGAUUCUCCCACCUCAGCCUCCCAA
Long non-coding RNA from Gorilla gorilla gorilla (western lowland gorilla), 1951 nucleotides. RefSeq lists it as uncharacterized. NCBI's taxonomy places the organism in Eukaryota, Metazoa, Chordata, Mammalia, Primates, Hominidae. The record is from RefSeq and is a predicted model, not a curated record. The transcript has 3 exons.